GCGCUGCUGAGGAGUCCCACGAUUGGACGAAACGGCUGUCCAGCGC
This is a non-coding RNA of Schistosoma mattheei, 46 nucleotides long. The record is from Rfam. Lineage: Eukaryota; Metazoa; Platyhelminthes; Trematoda; Strigeidida; Schistosomatidae.